This 1717-nucleotide long non-coding RNA is filed under the name Homo sapiens (human). RNAcentral's name for it is "non-protein coding lnc-NAGPA-2:2". Lineage: Eukaryota; Metazoa; Chordata; Mammalia; Primates; Hominidae. The record is from RNAcentral.
GUCCAGGCGCUGGAGAGCCGCCGGUGAGCCACACGCACGAAUCCCUGCCCUCGUGGAGUUUAUACUACGGUGGGGAGACAGACACUCAAUAAAUAAGGCAAAUAUAUGAUGUGUGAGGUAGUGAAAAACUCUAACGAGAGAAAAAUAAGCAGGAAAGGGGCUCAAGGAGCCAGCGGAGAGAAAGGACAAUUUAAAACAGGUAAGAGGCCGGGCGCCAUGUCUCACGCCUGUAAUCCAAACACUUUAGGAGGCGGAAGCGGGAGGACCGCUUGAACCCAGGAGUUGGAGACCACCCUGGGUAACAUAGCAAGAACCUAUCUCUACAAAAAAAUUUUUUUUUAGUUUAGGCAGGGCGCGGUGGCUCACGCCUGUAAUCCCAGCACACUGAGAGGCCAAGGCAGGCAGAUCAGCUGAGGUCAGGAGUUCGAGAACAGCAUGGCCAAUAUGAGGAAACCCCGUCUCUACUAAAAUACAAAAUUAGCCGGGCAUGGUGGCGUAUACCUGUAAUCUCAGCUACUCGGGAGGCUGAGGCAGGAGAAUCGCUUGAAUCAAGGAGGCGGAGGUUGCAGUGAGCCGAGACUGCGCCACUGCACUCCAGCCUGGGCAAGAAGAACAAAGCUCCGUCGCAAAAAAAAAAAAAAAAAAUUAGCCAGGCGUGUUGGCACGUGCCUGUGGUCCCAGCUACUCAAGAGGCUGAGGCAGGAGGAUCCCUUGAGCCCAGAAGUUCAAAGCUGCAGUGAGCUGUUACCUGGCCACUGCACUCCAGCCUGGGCAACAAAGCAAGACUCGGUCUCAAAAUAAAUAAGUAAAUAAAUAAAUAAAACAGGGAGUAAGGGGGCCUCCCUUGGGAGAGUGACAUUUGUCCAUCACUCUCAUUUUAACUCACACUUAACCCCUUUCAGCCCUCCCAGGACUCCCAGGGGACCAACCUUGCUCCCAGAAGUCCUGCCUUGCCACUCCUCAUCUGUUUAGCCUACAAGACCCAAGAAAUUGGCUCUGGACAGUGCUGUCAUCCAUGUAUUCACUCAUUCAACAUUUACUGAGCACCUACUACGUGCCACCGUGGGGUGAAUUCACCCCUUCAAGCAGGGGAAGUCAGAGGUGGCCAGGGAGAUGGACAACCCCUGAUAUAUUUCAAGUAUGUCACUGCACCCUGUGAAAAUCACCUCUCUUCCCUUCCUAGCCUGCAUCACAUUCUAAUAUUGCAUUUAUUCGUUUUAUAUAUCUGUGGGUUCCUGGAGGUCUCUCUCAGGAGACUGUGAGCUCCCUGAGGGCAGGGGCAGUGGCUGCCUUAUUCAGCUGCCCGCAUGUUGGGAAGGAUCUUACUGGGGACCUGGCAGGCAGGCAGCAGGUGCCCAGCAGACUCUUGGCUUAGGUAAUCAAGGGCGGAAAUGGGACACAAAGUUCCCAUCCCUGUCGCAAGGUGGCAGCAAAUGAUAGCCCAUGGCUCCUGGAGUAACACAAGGGUGAGUAGGUGGGGGACAUGGGAUCCAGGGAUGACUGUCCUAACCCGGGCUCAUCCAGGAAAUGCCCAGCUCUGCCCAGGCAUCGCCACAGAGCAAAGUGAACGUUAACACCGUUAGCUGCUGUUACCACCACGAAAGGCGUUAAGUCCGCCUCUCCUGCUGCCCAACAUUGAGGGAGGACAAUGACUGCGUGGGAGACAGAGGUGUGACAGCCCUGCGGGUACAGAGAGCUCAAAGUGGAAACUGGGGCC